RNAcentral lists this ribosomal RNA (312 nucleotides) under uncultured bacterium. RNAcentral's name for it is "partial 16S ribosomal RNA". It matches the Rfam family "Bacterial small subunit ribosomal RNA", at positions 28 to 313 of the family's 1533-position model. The record is from RNAcentral.
GAUGAACGCUGGCGGCGUGCCUAAUACAUGCAAGUCGAGCGGUAAGGCUUUCACAGUUCCCAUCUCUCUCAUUUAUUUGAGGAAUAGAGGUGUGAAGCGUGAAAGUACACGAGCGGCGGACGGCUGAGUAACACGUAGGAACCUACCCAAACUGAGGGAUAACUGCUCGAAAGAGUAGCUAAUACCGCAUACCUUCUUCGGAAGAAAGCUACGGCGGUUUGGGAAGGGCCNGCGUAAGAUUAGCUUGUUGGUGAGGUAACGGCUCACCAAGGCGACGAUCUUUAGCUGGUCUGAGAGGAUGAUCAGCCAGAC